RNAcentral lists this ribosomal RNA (253 nucleotides) under uncultured bacterium. RNAcentral describes it as "partial 16S ribosomal RNA". It matches the Rfam family "Bacterial small subunit ribosomal RNA", at positions 524 to 776 of the family's 1533-position model. The record is from RNAcentral.
UACGUAGGAUCCAAGCGUUAUCCGGAAUCAUUGGGCGUAAAGCGUGUGUAGGCGUCCCGCCGCAUCUUCUAUUAAAUCUCCGGGCUCAACUCGGAAACCGUGGAAGAGAUGGGCGGGAUGGAGAUACGGAGAGGCAGACGGAAUUCCUAGUGUAGCAGUGAAAUGCGUAGAUAUUAGGAAGAACACCGAUGGCGAAGGCAGUCUGCUGGCCGUCAUCUGACGCUGAGACACGAAAGCGUGGGGAGCGAACGGG